GGCCAACUUAGCUCAGUUGGUAGAGCAGCUGAUUUGUAAUCAGCCGGUCGUCGGUUCGAGUCCGACAGUUGGCUU
This 75-nucleotide transfer RNA is filed under the name Akkermansiaceae bacterium UBA1506. RNAcentral's name for it is "tRNA-Thr(tgt)". It matches the Rfam family "tRNA". From Rfam's summary of the family: Transfer RNA (tRNA) molecules are approximately 80 nucleotides in length. Their secondary structure includes four short double-helical elements and three loops (D, anti-codon, and T loops). Lineage: Bacteria; Pseudomonadati; Verrucomicrobiota; Verrucomicrobiia; Verrucomicrobiales; Akkermansiaceae. The record is from RNAcentral.